This is a non-coding RNA of Hydra vulgaris (swiftwater hydra), 1565 nucleotides long. NCBI's taxonomy places the organism in Eukaryota, Metazoa, Cnidaria, Hydrozoa, Anthoathecata, Hydridae. The record is from RefSeq and is a predicted model, not a curated record.
UUGGUUACCCCCUGUACUAACUUAUCAAAAAAUUUUCCGAGAUAAAAAAGAUGGUAGUAAAUAAAUUUUCAAAUUGCCGAAGGUUUUGUUAUUUAGGAGUUGAAUUUCUUUCAUUUAAAUAUGAAUUUUACUUGUUACUGUUACUGGGAAAAGAAUGGUGAAAGAUCAAAAUCAUUGAAAAAAUUUAAUAAAAACUUAGAAGAACAAAUUUGACUGUUUAUUUUUCCAUGAUAUUCGAUGAACAACUAUUGCUAUCCAUCAGUUGUUUGUCCUGGUUGCCGAAGAAAUCUAGUCAGUCAAAUACAGACUCAAAAAGGGAGACUCACCUCAUGGAUUCAUGUUACCAGGGUAGAGUGGAAAACUCUUUUAAGAAAUAGCUCCAGUACCAGUCUAACUCUUCCAGAUGCGAUAACUAAUUUACCGACAACUGAGUCAGUAUAUGUUCCUUUUACUAUACAUUACCUGCACCUGGUUAUUAUCAUAACUGUAAACCCACCAGUACUGUGAUAGUAUCAUUACACUGUCAUUUCUUCUAGGUUCUCUUCAAGCUGAACAGGUUGCUUCUGGAAUUCUAAAAAGUAAAAUGGCUACAGAAAGUUUGAUUGACAGAUCAAGGUUUUGUUUAUCUACAGGAGGAAAUUUGCUCAAAGUCAGUUGGCACACCAGAAAACAAAUCAAAAAGAACUUCUAUUCAGCAGCUUUCCAUCAAAAUAAUAAAACAAUUACAAAUAUUGUUAGAACUUUCAAAUAGAAAAACAAAAGAGAUGCUUUCUACUUUACGCAAAGGUUUAGGAAAUAAGCUUUCCAUCAAGCCUAAUAUUUUUGGUCAUCUUUCUGAAUUAGAAGAAUAUAUUUCUAAUUACUGCAGUGUGCAGAAGUGCGAGUUUGUUGAUAGUAAAGGCCAUUUUGUUUUAUGAGAUUUUGUAGAUGUUCAAAAUAAAUCAGAUUUUGUACUUGACAUGCUAAAAUUACAUGUUUUAGACCCAACUUCAGCCUUUAUAAGGAUUCUAUUGGAUGUUGGAGGUUCAUUAUAUAUAUAUAUAUAAUAUACAUUUUUGAAUUUUUUUUGUUUAUUUAUACUUUGUUUAAAAUAUUUAAAAUUUAUUUUAAAAAAAUUAUUGUAACAGGCAUCUAAAAUGUUUAAAUGGGCGUAGGGCCCCUCAAUUUUACCCUUUACCCCAUUUACUAUCCUUAACUUUUAAAAAAAAAAAAAGGUUAUAUCUAUUUUUAUUAAACAAAUGCUUUUGAAUAAAAAACUUUUUUUUUGUAACAUCCACCUAGCAUACCUAAAUGGGAUUAUGCCUCCCUUGUAUUUACCCUUUGCCUCAUUCUUGACCCUUAGCAAUUUGUUCGGAUUUUAAAAAUCAUUUUUUUUAUUGUUAUAAUACUUUAAAUAGAAAAGAUUUCAUUUGAGUGCCACGACAAAACCUGACGGUCUCUCUGGUGCACAGUGAUCAGUUAUUCUGUUUUUUGAUAUUUGUUUAUGUAGGCCUGCCAUUGUAUUAGAUUAAUCAUAAUGUUUGUUUAUGCAGAUCUCUCGUAAUGUUAAGUUAUUCAUGGUGUUU